GAUUAACGCUGGCGGCGUGCAUAACACAUGCAAGUCGAACGAUGAAACUUAACUGAUUUCUUCGGAAUGAUUUUAAGUGGAUUAGUGCGGACGGGUGAGUAACGCGUGAGUAACCUGCCUUGGAGAAGGGGAUAGCCUUUGGAAACGAAGAAUAAUACCCUAUGAUAUGAUAAUAUCUCAUGAUAUUAUCAUCAAAGAUUUAUCGCUCUAAGAUGGACUUGCGUCUGAUUAGUUAGUUGGUGAGGUAACAGCUCACCAAGGCAGCGAUCAGUAGCCGGCUUGAGAGAGUGUACGGCCACAUUGGGACUGAGACACGGCCCAGACUCCUACGGGAGGCAGCAGUGGGGAAUUUUGCACAAUGGGGGAAACCCUGAUGCAGCGACGCCGCGUGAUUUAGAAGGCCUUCGGGUUGUAAAAAUCUUUUGUAUGGGAAGAAAAUGACAGUACCAUACGAAUAAGGACCGGCUAAUUACGUG
This 476-nucleotide ribosomal RNA is filed under the name uncultured bacterium. Its description in RNAcentral is "partial 16S ribosomal RNA". It matches the Rfam family "Bacterial small subunit ribosomal RNA", at positions 28 to 507 of the family's 1533-position model. The record is from RNAcentral.